GACGAACGCUGGCGGCGUGCUUAACACAUGCAAGUCGAACGGAAAGGCCCUGCUUUUGUGGGUUGCUCGAGUGGCGAACGGGUGAGUAACACGUGAGUAACCUUCCCUUUACUUUGGGAUAACUUCAGGAAACUGGGGCUAAUACCGGAUAUGAGCUCCUGCUGCAUGGUGGGGGUUGGAAAGUUUCGGCGGUUGGGGAUGGACUCGCGGCUUAUCAGCUUGUUGGUGGGGUAGUGGCUUACCAAGGCUUUGACGGGUAGCCGGCCUGAGAGGGUGACCGGCCACAUUGGGACUGAGAUACGGCCCAGACUCCUACGGGAGGCAGAAGGGGGGAAUAUUGCACAAUGGGCGGAAGCCUGAUGCAGCAACGCCGCGUGCGGGAUGACGGCCUUCGGGUUGUAACCCGCUUUCGCCUGUGACGAAGCGUGAGUGACGGUAAUGGGUAAAGAAGCACCGGCUAACUACGUG
Molecule: ribosomal RNA, 468 nt
Filed under: uncultured bacterium
Lineage: Bacteria
Description: partial 16S ribosomal RNA
Rfam family: Bacterial small subunit ribosomal RNA
Source: RNAcentral